RNA transcript from Phacochoerus africanus (Common warthog), 1625 nucleotides. It is a transcript of the gene named CD47 molecule, with no coding region annotated. The transcript has 12 exons. The record is from RefSeq and is a predicted model, not a curated record. NCBI's taxonomy places the organism in Eukaryota, Metazoa, Chordata, Mammalia, Artiodactyla, Suidae.
CCGCGUGAGCCUGAGAAUACACGCUCAGCCUCCAAUAGGGGGCGGGUACGGGAAAAACGGGGCGUGACCCGGCCGCCCUGCGCGCGCCACUGGCGAGGAGCAGGCGGGAGCCGGGACUUGAAGCGGGUAGUCGGAAGGGCGUCGCGUCAACAGCCGCGGCAGCCGGGCGGGGGUGAAGCUGAGUGCGCGUGCGCCGCGCGCGAGCCGGGGAGCGGGCGUGGAGUGGCGGGAGCGCGCGUGCGCGCGCCCAGGCAGCCUGGGCACCGGGUCCUGCCUUUGACGGGAGGAGGCGGCGGGUCCUCUCUGUGACGGCGGCGGUGCCUGCUCCAGACACCUGAGGCGGCGGCGGCGGCAACCCCGCGGCGGACGCGGAGAUGUGGCCCUUGGUGGUGGUGGUGCUGCUGGGCUCGGCGUACUGCGGUUCAGCUCAGUUGAUAUUUAAUAUAACCAAAUCUGUAGAAUUCACCGUUUGCAAUACAACUGUUACCAUCCCAUGUUUUGUUAAUAACAUGGAGGCAAAGAACAUUUCUGAAUUGUACGUCAAGUGGAAAUUUAAAGGAAAAGACAUUUUCAUCUUUGAUGGCGCUCAGCACAAGUCCAAGCCCAGUGAAGCCUUCCCUAGUUCAAAAAUCUCACCAUCAGAAUUACUACAUGGCAUUGCCUCUUUGAAGAUGGAUAAGCGUGAUGCUGUCAUAGGAAACUACACUUGUGAAGUAACAGAAUUAAGCAGAGAAGGCGAAACCAUCAUAGAACUAAAACGUCGUUUUGUUUCAUGGUUUUCUCCAAAUGAAAAUAUCCUCAUUGUUAUUUUCCCAAUUUUGGCUAUACUUCUGUUCUGGGGACAGUUUGGUAUUUUGACUCUUAAAUAUAAAUCCAGUUAUACGAAGGAGAAAACCAUUUUCCUAUUAGUUGCUGGACUAAUGCUCACUAUCAUUGUCAUUGUUGGAGCCAUUCUUUUCAUCCCAGGUGAAUAUUCAACAAAGAAUGCUUGUGGACUUGGUUUAAUUGUAAUCCCUACAGCAAUAUUAAUAUUACUUCAAUACUGUGUGUUUAUGAUGGCUCUUGGAAUGUCUUCCUUCACCAUUGCCAUAUUGAUCCUUCAGGUAUUGGGCCAUGUGCUCUCUGUGGUUGGACUUAGCCUCUGCGUCUCAGAGUGUACCCCAGUGCAUGGCCCUCUUCUGAUUUCAGGUUUGGGUAUUAUAGCUCUAGCAGAAUUACUUGGACUAGUUUAUAUGAAAUGUGUUGAGUUCAGAGAAGCACCUUCGGUCAGUUGAAGGGCAAGAAGAGAAAAGCUUCUGAUCACAAGACUAUACAACCUCCUAGGAAAGCUGUAGAGGAACCCCUUAAUGCAUUUAAAGAAUCAAAAGGAAUGAUGAAUGAUGAAUAACUGAAGUGAAGUGAUGGACUCUGAUUUGGAGAGUACUAAGACGUGAAAGAUACACACUUAUGUUUAAGCACCACGGCCUUGAUUCACUGUUUGGGAGAAGAAAAUAAGAAGAGUAACUGGUUUCCAUCUAUGGGAGAAAGUAAAUCAUUGACCUUUAAAUUGUUACAGUUUAAGUUUUUAUUCAAAGCAUUUUUAAUUUAGUUAAUAAAAUUACAAUCUGUGUUGUGUGCCCAAUUGA